This 765-nucleotide ribosomal RNA is filed under the name Triticum aestivum (bread wheat). Its description in RNAcentral is "partial small subunit ribosomal RNA". Lineage: Eukaryota; Viridiplantae; Streptophyta; Magnoliopsida; Poales; Poaceae. The record is from RNAcentral.
AUGGCCGAGACCCCGGACUCCGUCCUCGCCGUCGACAUCUACUGCUACAAGAUCCGCCGCCUCGUCGACCCACCCCCGCCCCACCUCGCCCGCUGCAGCAACUUCCACCUCCUCAACGUCAAGAACAACUCCGGCCUGGAGGGCCUCAUCAAGAUGGUCGAUCUGAUACAAACCAAGUGUAAUCAAAGAGGAUAUGGAUUCAAUACGGACAUGAGUGAAGGAAUGAUCUUGGAGAAUGUUUUCUCAGUGUGGUUCAGGUUAAAUUGUUCUCCUACUGUUCCUGCUCAACCUCCUAAUGUUCUAUGUCUUCGCCGUGCCUUCUUCCAGCUUCUCUAUUGGUUUUCUCUUCACACCGAUAUAGCAGGGAGGCUGUCCAAGCUAGAAAAUAAAGGAUGGAGGCCAAGGCGAACAAUCAUCUCUGCAGUUGGGAUGCAGAAGAGUUUGCGCUGGUAUGUUCUUGCUCGCAUGCUCUCAGAUGCUUUCUCAUCCGCAAGUGUAAGCUCUAAAGCGUUGAAAAAUCCAAUGCCUCGGAUAGGGCCUACGGAAUGGACCGAGGAGGACAUGGAUAUGCUUGCUUCAAGAGGUGUUGCUUAUCUGAAUGUAGACAUGUCAAUGUUUGGGCCUGGAAGUCUUAUGCCCCCUGCAACACCACAACUCGAUGAAUUAAUCAAUGAAGCAAGCAGAAUGGUAGCCGAUCCUGAUGAUCCGUAUCAUACCUUGUAUGACUACAUGGCACAAAUGAGCGAUCAUGAGAGCUUCAUUUGA